GCUUUCAGAUAUUGGGAUGAUUUUUCGCUUGUGAAUUAACCAAGAUGAGUUACAGAUUAAGUUUAAGUUUUGUUCCGCUCGGCUAUAUUUUGCCAAAUUACGGGCUAUGGACUUUAGUUUGAUAAAUUGUUGAAAAUAACAAUUAUAGUCUUUUUUUCUAAACGAUUUCAGAUAUUGGGCUAAUUUUUGGUAUGUGAGUUAUACAGAUCAAGUUUAAGUUUCGUUUUGCCCGGCUGAUUUUUGCUGUAAUUUCGGACUUUGGACUUUGAUAAAUUUUUGAAAAUCACAGUUAUACAGGUUGGGAACAAACCCCCUGUAUGGUGAUUAUACCUGUAUAGAGGGAUAAUCCUUCUUUAGAGGGAUAAAAUUAUCCCUCUGUAGAGGGGUAUUUUUGUUUGCACUGGAUUUAAAGCAAAUUAGGGCAGAAUGGCAUUUUCUAUUUAUAUUGGCUAUAAUCUCUAGCAUUAUAUGCAUCAACAUAUGCACUUUACUAAAAAUUGGGAUAACCAGUUUUCUGCUAAAGUGACAAAACUUGCAAUCUAUUGUAUACCAUCUGAACACCUGAUCAACAACAAAAGGAAUAGUUGACCUUUAAAUUUCAUGUUAAAUCUAACAAUAGAAAUUCUGUUCAG
Molecule: long non-coding RNA, 632 nt
Filed under: Mytilus galloprovincialis (Mediterranean mussel)
Lineage: Eukaryota; Metazoa; Mollusca; Bivalvia; Mytilida; Mytilidae
Source: RNAcentral